RNAcentral lists this ribosomal RNA (253 nucleotides) under uncultured bacterium. Its description in RNAcentral is "partial 16S ribosomal RNA". It matches the Rfam family "Bacterial small subunit ribosomal RNA", at positions 524 to 776 of the family's 1533-position model. The record is from RNAcentral.
UACGUAGGAGGCGAGCGUUGUCCGGAAUCACUGGGUGUAAAGCGCGUGUAGGCGGCCUGCCAAGUCUGCUGUGAAAGCGCCUGGCUUAACCGGGCGAGGUCGGUGGAAACUGGCGGGCUGGAGGCUGGUAGAGGGGGGUGGAAUUCCCGGUGUAGUGGUGAAAUGCGUAGAGAUCGGGAGGAACACCAGCGGCGAAGGCGGCGCUCUGGGCCGGAACUGACGCUGAGGAGCGAAAGCGUGGGUAGCAAACAGG